This is a non-coding RNA of Canis lupus familiaris (dog), 428 nucleotides long. The record is from Rfam. NCBI's taxonomy places the organism in Eukaryota, Metazoa, Chordata, Mammalia, Carnivora, Canidae.
CCUUCCCGGAGGGAGAGCGGCCUGGGGCGGCGGUGCUGUGUGUGGUGCUGCGAUGUGCGUGGAAGGCGCGUGGAAGGCGCGUGGAAGGCGCGUGUGGGCUGAGUGAGUGGGCGCGCGAGUGUGGUGGGUCCACGUGGGGCGUGCAAGGCGAGCGUGUGUGCGCCGUCCCUGAGCCCCUCCCCCCGUCUACACCUUGAUCUUAUUUGAUCGGGUUGUGACCCAGCCCCGCCGGGCCGGCCCGAGAUGAAAAGCUCCCUCCUGCGAAGCCCCCUCCGCGGGGCGCUGUGCGGCGAGGCCCGCGGGCGGCGGCAGCACCGCGGCCCCGGCGCUGGUCUGACGGGGCCCGGCGCUCAGAAGUGAUGAAUUGAUCAGAUAGACGAGGCCGGGCCCGUCCCGCGCCGCUGAUUAUCGAGGCGAUUCUGAUCUGA